UGUUUGUUUUGUAAUUAUAGCAUCUUAAUAUUCAUUGAUUAUACAUGGUAGCAAUAACUUUUUCUUUUUAAGUCAGUGUGUUGAAAUGUGAAGUAUAUUUACCAGAGAAACGUGUGUACCAGUGGGGGCAAGAAAGAAAUAGUGAAAGAAGUUUUGCAAUCUAAGCAAGCAGAGGAAGUGAAUGUUGCAAUGAUCUGCAUGUCUUUGAGUACCAGUAAGUGAGAAACCCAGUAAUCUAAAAGGCAGGUGGGUAGAUAUUUUUCUUUGCUGUUUAGCAGUUACUGAAAAGUCAGCAUAAAUAGCCCCUCAUCUCUUGUUCUCUUUAUAUAUCAUGGUUUUUCUCUUUUCUGCACGAAGCUCAGGGAUCUAGAACCUUGAAAGGUUGCAACUGGCUGAUACCCACUGAAAAGUAACUUGCAUGUUUGCAAGCAGCCCCUACUGUGUCAUUCUGCUGACUUUUUUUUUUUUUUUUUUUUUUCCCCUGAAAAAGUGCUGCAAGAGAUCACUGAAAGAGUCUCAAUUGGAAUUUUCUGGUUUUCCAGUGGAAAUGGGAAGGCAGUGUAACAGAGGGGAAAAAGUCAAUUAAAAGGAAAGGGAACACUUGAAACUUCUGCAUAAUUAAUCUACCUUGCCAUGAAACUCUUCUACAGAAAACAAAAAACAAAAAAACAACCAUAGGUAGCUUAUGGAAAAGUUCUUCAGAAACUUCUAAGCAUGAUGUCAUUGCCAGUGGCAUGUACCCUGCACAAGUGACGAAACAGGAAACUGGAAGAGAAAGAAGAGGGAAGAAGAAAAGUCUACCAUGAAGAACUUGCUAUCUCAGCAGGAAUUGCAGAGUCAGGAAUGGAAUCAAAAGGUGGAUGACCAAUCAAGCAGAUGUUACUCAACACUUCUUGAGAACUGGCAAAUAAUCAGAAGAAAAAUACAGCUGGAAUGCAAUCUAACAAAGGAUCAACUCCAAUGUUUCAGAUCAGCAGGAUCUGUUUAAUGUGUCAGCUUAAUUCCUCAAGCAUUAACCUGCAGAAUGUUCUCACUAUGCUUGCUGGUCUUCGUGGCACAUUCUACAGGAAUGUUUUCUGCAGUGAUCCUGCAUACAGGCAGCAAGCUUAAAGCAAAUGGCCGAGCCCUUUCCCCAAGCUACAGAAGAUAUUGCAGAAGUGUGCCCUGUUUGCUCUCAGACAGGAAGCAUCCACUGAGACAGAACAGACUCUAUGGUAGAUUCAGUUGGUUCUGUGCCUGAACAGUUUGGACUUGGUCAAUUGAAGAACUUCAGUAUGUUGACAGUCUGUGCGUUACCCACCAGAGGGAGCCAAAGCCAAGAACCGUCGGACUUUGCCUUUCAAUUUUCAGAGCUUCUCUACUGAAAGUCAUCUCCACCACUUCACAGUGCUUUUGAUUCAGGCCUCUGUCUUCAGGUUUUUGAUCAGACUGGCUCAUGGCAGUAGCUGCAUGAAAUACACAUUUCCUCAUCAGAUACUCCAAAACACAGGAAUUGUUCCAUACUUAUAUCAAGGAAUUCAGCCGGAGAUUAUAUUCUGUGUGCAUACAGAAAAGAAACUGUGAACAUUCAACACUAGCAUAAGCAAUGUACCCACUAAGCUGAUAUGCCAAGAUUCUGUGGCCAGUGUUCAAGCAAGCAGCUGAGAAUUAAUGAGUACUCCCUUGUGGUCUCCAGACAUCACACAAGACCAAUGGACUCCACCUGUUUUUUCAUCUGUAACCUAUAAGUUUUCUCCAUUGGCCAGACAAUCCUGGGUGAACUGAAGGUUUAAAAAUGGUUGAAAAAUUAACCAGAUUUGUACCUCUUGGCAAUUACUGAUUAUUCUGGUAGAUUUAUUUUUGGAGUCAUGAAAGCAGGCAAACUGAAUAUGGUUGUGUUUUGAUAUUAUGUGUAUGGCACACUAUAAUCAUCAGUUCAAAGUCCUCUACGGAGCAACUCACUCAGGAAAAAAAAAACUUUGUUCUGCAUCAUCUUUGAGAUCAAAUUUUGAACUGAAAAACUGUUCCAAGCUUUCAAAAGUGCAUAGCAUGCUUAUAUGAAGACACACCUUGUGGCUCAAUGGAACAUCAUCAGCUAAUGCAUCAAAGUACCCUCUCCACAACAAACAGGGCCUGCUGCAGCACAGCCAGGAGAAUUAACGUGUGCUCAGAGGAUUAAAGUUUUGGAUUCAUUUGAGGGCUGGAAUGAAGUUGCUCUGGGUUUUGAUCAUUGUGAUCAGCCAACUCCAACUACUGGAAGGAGGAGCAAAAGCAUCCCUGUCUGCAGGCUUUUUAGAUAGUUGCUGAAGUCCGAGAACUGUGGUGCUGUGCCUAAAUCUGGGUGUGGCCACACACCAAAAAAUACCAUUGAAGAAAAAGCAAAGCUAAUGUCCCAGAGAAAAAUCAAACUUAUUUCAGCUCUUUAGAGAUCAUGAUGAAAGUCUCGUCACAUUUGCAAUUGCUGUUCCCUGAGAUGUCUACAUCCCCUCUGAAGGGAUCAUUCUGCUACUUCUGGGCUUCUAUAGACAGUGGCAAAAAUAUAUAUAAAAAAAAACCUUAAUAAAGACCUACAGAACCCCAACAAAACCCCCUGUGAAUAUCCAGUACUGCUUACACGCACCACAAGUCUGUCAAAUUCAGAAAUUGACUCCAAAGUGUAAAGUCACAAAGACAAUAGUUUAAUAUCAACCAAAAAAAAGCUUAAGUUAGUGGUAUUUUCUUUCUUGAAAUAACAUACUGUCAUACGAGAGUCACUGAAGAGGUCUGCUUUUAGCUCGGAAGACUUUUACAGUUACAGCCGAAUUAAAAACCCCUAUUUCUAAACGCGUGAUGGUAACACAAAAACCGGAAACUUAAGACAUGGGAUGAAGAACAAACGCAGUUGUUAAGAUGACAGCAGUUAGGUGAGGCAUUUCACUGCCUUCUCCCUAGCGUGGAAAGAAGUUCUCCAGUAUCUUUCCCACCACCAUUAUUUCCAGAUUCACAAGUGGUUGUUUUUAAAAUACUACCGGGGGUCAAAUUGCAAUCAAGCGCCGUAUGCUUGUAAUGUCUUCUGUGAAGGUCUGAAGCCACCCUGUUUCAACUAUUUGGUUACUCAGUGCAGAAAGUUAAAGAUCACAGAAGGUAUAACAGCUUUUAAUACUCCAUUAAUAUUAUAGAUUAAAAAUUAUUGCAUAGUCUUAUGCAUCUCCUAAAACAGCAUUCUCUGGAAAUUAAACAUUUCAAUAUAAAAGGAGCAACUCUUUAAAACACGAAUUGCAUUCACUACCUCGAUCUUCUAUCCUUUUUUGAUUUGUCAGUACAUUUGUCCAUAGUUUUCUCGUUAUCUCCUCUGCACUUGGGGCAAUACCAUUUCCCCUUAGGUUUGUAGGUGAGUCCGACACACGAGAAGUGGAACCACUCGAUAGGACACUGUUCGUUAUCACAUCCUAUCAUUUCGCCGUAGGACACUUGGUUGCAUAAGCAGUAAGUGGGUUCAUUGGGAUCAAUUGCAAAUUCUACGGGUGAAACCUCCCUCUCCUGUUUGGCUUUGGAGCGUUUUUUCUUCUUGGAAGAUUUCGAUCUUUUCUCCUUAGGCGGCUGAUCGUCGCAGUCAUCGAUGCCGUUUGCUAUGUGGCACAGGUCGCGGCUCUCACUGGUGCGCUGCCGACGAGGUCUACGUGAAGAUCUCUCUGGCUGGCAGGAUUCCAUCUUUGCCUUUUCUAGAGGCUUGUCGUUUUCAGACAGAUCUUGAAAACACUGAGAGUGUGUUUCCAUCUGUCGGGCUCUAUUCUCUACCAGUUCCAGCAUCUGAGUAACUAUUUGAAUUUUUUCAUCUCCCAGUUCUUGACUGUUGAUUAAAGCACGCUGGAGAUGCUGCUGCAGGCGUUUCUUCUGAACAGGAUCGUUCUCGGACUUGUAUUUCUCAUAGACAUCAUCUAUUUCUUUUAAAGCUUCUGCAAAGAUAACGUAACACAAAUAAUUAGAUAGAAGGUACAUUCCUGUAUUUUCUUGAGCACGUAUAAACCAAUGAGAAAUAGUAUGAGUUUUAAUUAGUGGGCUUCAUCAGGUGUUUUAUUCAAGUUACACCUGAGCACCACUUCAGUGUUUAAGGUGGUAAUCUGUUGCAUGAAAAGUUUCUCAAGUUCUCAACAAAAAGCAAGAUAAUUUUGACUGCUGGAAAAAGGAAAGGGUAAGACCAGAAAGGUGACCAGUGCUGCCAAAGUGAAGUUAGUCCAAAUACUAACUUAGCAUCUGACAAAGCAGGAAUUUUUGCUGAGAUUCCUUAUUAGGGUAGUUACAAAGCCCUGGCCUAGAAACCAAAGCUUACCAUACUAUAGGAAGAAGUUUAGAAUUCACUAUCAUCACACGUAAUUCAUGUAGCCAUCAUAUUACACUGCAGAAUUAGGGUAUGAAGGUCCUCUGCCUCCUCCUUACACACGUGAAGGUUUGGCAUUACCUUUUCAACAGCUCUUUGUUGUAACUAAGUACGACAGUGGAAGUGACACACUAGCAGGUGUAGAGUCAGGAUUUAAAACAACUUAAACCACUGCAAGUGGUGCUCACUGUAUGAAGAAGUUACAGCAAGUUGUGUGAGGCAGAACUUUUCAGAAUAGGUGACCUGCAGCUUAAUGCAUCACAGGAUGUUUUCAAGCUGCUGGUAGCAAGCGCUUCACGGUUCCACUCCCAGGCUUUUUGCCUUUUUUUUUUUUUUGCA
Centrocercus urophasianus (Greater sage-grouse) is the source of this 4675-nucleotide long non-coding RNA. RefSeq lists it as uncharacterized. The record is from RefSeq and is a predicted model, not a curated record. NCBI's taxonomy places the organism in Eukaryota, Metazoa, Chordata, Aves, Galliformes, Phasianidae. The transcript has 15 exons.